This 428-nucleotide ribosomal RNA is filed under the name uncultured prokaryote. RNAcentral's name for it is "bacterial SSU rRNA". It matches the Rfam family "Bacterial small subunit ribosomal RNA", at positions 355 to 774 of the family's 1533-position model. The record is from RNAcentral.
UAGGGAAUCUUCCGCAAUGGACGAAAGUCUGACGGAGCAACGCCGCGUGAGUGAUGAAGGUUUUCGGAUCGUAAAGCUCUGUUGUUAGGGAAGAACAAGUACCGUUCGAAUAGGGCGGUACCUUGACGGUACCUAACCAGAAAGCCACGGCUAACUACGUGCCAGCAGCCGCGGUAAUACGUAGGUGGCAAGCGUUGUCCGGAAUUAUUGGGCGUAAAGGGCUCGCAGGCGGUUUCUUAAGUCUGAUGUGAAAGCCCCCGGCUCAACCGGGGAGGGUCAUUGGAAACUGGGGAACUUGAGUGCAGAAGAGGAGAGUUGAAUUCCACGUGUAGCGGUGAAAUGCGUAGAGAUGUGGCGGAACCCGAGUGGUGAAGGCGACUCUCUGGUCUGUAACUUACACUGAGGCGCGACAGCGUGCGGAGCAAACA